CUGCUCGCUUCAGCAGCACAUAUACGAAAAUUGGAAUGACAGAAGAUUAGCAUGGCCCCUGUGCAAGGAUGACAUGCAAAUUCGUGAAGCAUUCCAUAUUUUU
This is a small nuclear RNA of Octodon degus (degu), 103 nucleotides long. NCBI's taxonomy places the organism in Eukaryota, Metazoa, Chordata, Mammalia, Rodentia, Octodontidae. The record is from Ensembl.